RNAcentral lists this ribosomal RNA (393 nucleotides) under uncultured bacterium. RNAcentral's name for it is "partial 16S ribosomal RNA". It matches the Rfam family "Bacterial small subunit ribosomal RNA", at positions 523 to 918 of the family's 1533-position model. The record is from RNAcentral.
AUACGGAGGACGCGAGCGUUAUCCGGAUUCAUUGGGUUUAAAGGGUGCGCAGGCGGCCGUGCAAGUCAGCGGUGAAAGCCCGGGGCUCAACCCCGGAAGUGCCGUUGAUACUGCGUGGCUGGAAUGCGGUCGAGGCGGGCGGAACGGGGCGUGUAGCGGUGAAAUGCGUAGAUAUGCCACAGAACGCCGAUAGCGGAGGCAGCUCGCCAGGCCUGCAUUGACGCUCGGGCACGAAAGCGUGGGGAUCGAACAGGAUUAGAUACCCUGGUAGUCCACGCCGUAAACGAUGGGCGCUCGUCGUCGGCGGCAGACAGUCGGCGGCCAAGCGAAAGCGAUAAGCGCCCCACCUGGGGAGUACGGUCGCAAGGCUAAAACUCAAAUGAAUUGGCGGGG